This 3817-nucleotide small RNA is filed under the name Cryptococcus neoformans H99. RNAcentral's name for it is "Cryptococcus neoformans var. grubii H99 hypothetical RNA". Lineage: Eukaryota; Fungi; Basidiomycota; Tremellomycetes; Tremellales; Cryptococcaceae. The record is from RNAcentral.
AUCCACACAAAUAAUAAUAAUAAUAAAAUAAAAACCCCGACCACCCCGUCCCGCCCCGCAAACCUUCAAGCCGACAAGACUCGUUUCGACCUCCACAAAGUCCACACAAGCAUCAUCAAAAACACAGCCACUCACCUCCCCAGCUAGGCCGUCUGCCCCCCCUAAUCUCCCCGCCGCUAUCCCUAUUUGGACUCAGCGCCCGCACCAUCUUGUCGCGGAAAGAGCUGAAUGAGCUCGACGUCGGCGUCGGCGUCCCGCUCGUCGUCCGGCUGACAAGCGGCUGUAACUCGGGGGGCGUUGACCUUUUAUUUGGAGUCGAGAUCGACAUGCUGAAAGGUGGUAUCGACGUAUAGCGGUGGUUGGUGACUGGUGACUGGUAGACUAGCAGACUUGACCUGUUUUGUUUUUUACUUGCACACCCGCCGCUGCCUCGAUUUGCCAAGAAUAAUUAUUUCGAAUGUCAACGGCGUCACCGUUACACCGUCAGCUGAUUCCAAUCGCACAUUUCUUCGCUUAUUACUCCAUCCGCCUUUUCCCCUUUCAUUAAUACAUCUUUUCUGCAUUCCUCUAAAAACACACACACACAUCUAUCGACGUCUCGCCAUUAAAUGAUCAUUUUCAACAUCACCGCGCGCCUCUUUCAAUCGCCCGGCGCAAACGAUGAAUCGUCGACAAUCCACUCAACCGCUUGUUCAACCCGUCGAGUCGUAUCAGCACUCGUCGUAUCGGCACUCGUCGUAUCGACACGAAGCGCCAUCUCGAGCUAUAUCCAAGGUCCAGGAUCCUCGAUAAUAAAAGUGGCAUCUCUCUAAUAAUCCAAAGUGCGGCAAUUCCAUUCCACCCGCAAAGGUCAACCAGAUACUUGAGAGAGUUCACUGCAAUGUUGAGCAUUGCUGGGUGUUUAGAGCAGAAUAUAAUUCUUCCAGAGUUGCUUAAUGCAACCUGUCUCAGUUAUUAUAAUAUAGUCUAAAUCUAAAGCUUGGAAUAGUGGCCAAAUCUGGAAAUCCACCUUCUCCAAACCUUUGUCGAAAUCAAAUCAAGCCUCCAGGCAUGCAUCCUUCAAGAAUAACUUGGUCAUCAGGAGAAAUUCCAAUUGGAAGCCGGAAAGUGCCUCCGGGACGAGGGGAAAUAGUAGUGUUCAGUAGGCGCGAAACUUGAGACAUGUGAACACGGGCGUUCUUUGAGAAGCGGGCCCACUAAUACAGUAUCGUAAAUUGGGAAAUGGUUUUUGAUCGAGUAAAAACUUACCCAGAGUGAUCGCAUACGGCAUCCAGAACACAUCAAUCUGCUCAUCAAACACAGCCUUUACAUCCUCUGGUACACUCUCGACAACGCUCAAUCGAUCCGUCCAUCCUGUCCUUCUGCCCAUAGGCCCCUCCAUAUCGGAAUCACUCAUACCCGUCUCUGUCUCACUUCCUAUGGUGAUAUCGGCCUCGUUCUGGUUUCUCAAUACAUGACCCAUAAAACCGCGGGGUCCAUCGAGCUCAUUGAAUAUUGAGUACCAAAUUUGAUUCGAUCAGAGCCGGAUUUCAUCGCUUUGAGCUGAAGGGCUCGGCUUUUGUCCGCAUUGGUCCAGACGAUGCGGUUGACGCGUCGGCAAGGCGGCUGGGAUCUGCCGGCCCAGAAACGGUUGGUUCAAGCCAUUCUCGAGCGGCAGCAGCAAGAGUGUCGUGGCGAGGAAUUGUGAAUGUAAACCCGUGGCAAGUGGUUGGAGGUGCAAGGACAGAAUUGACGAUCUCGACUAUCACGUCAGCAAACGAAAUGAUGAGUGGAGACUCACCGUCUCGAGGGUGUGCAAACUUGAGAGUUUUCGCUACCAGUUUCUGGGCACCUCCUUGUCCAGCAUCGGCUACGUGCUUGCCCCUUAGGUCUUUGGACAGCCCACCGUUGCUGAAUGUGCUGCUUUUCGAAUUUUUACGAGAUCGGUGGUCUUCAUCUCCUUGGGUAGCAGAUCGGUUGUGUUGCUUAUCACCGCUGAAGCAGCUGCCAAGCAUAUCAGGUCGCCAAAACAGUCCAAGAGAAUCUUCGAGCGGCUGCACCCCACGAGUGGUGUCUGCCAAUGACCAUUCUGCGGUACUCUAAAAACUCAGCCGCUCGCAAUGAUCUACAAGACUUACCUUUCCCAAACCCGAUACCAGGUAAAGGCUAGCAAGCUUUGCAUUUGCAUCAAGCCCUAGCAUCUCGUCUGUCUUGUUUCUUGAACCAACGCUAGCGCUAAAGAGGUUGAAUCCCAAACCUCCGAGACCCAAUUUGCUCUCACUGCGCAAACCUCUUAAUUCGUCUUGCUCCUCGGUCUCUUCCACAAUACCUGGUGCGCGUGUACCUGUGGUGGCAACUCUCGCUUUCAUUUUUGUCGUAUUGGGCCGCUAGCGUAAGGGUGGGAUGGGGUGAUAGAAUCUUCUGACAAGAUAGAAGCUGGAUAUGUUGGAGAAGGCGGAGAGGUGAUUGAAGUGAACGAUGAAUUACGGCUCGCAACUGGGCGCGGGAGGGAAGUCUGUGAUUGCAUUGAUCCUGAUGGCAGGGAAAUGAUGUAAUCGGCAGAGAUAUCAAUCACUUGGUGGUCCAGUGAAGCAUUCAAGGCCUUCCGACCUCUCUCUUGCCUAUCAAGUGCGAGUGGAUGGUAAAGACUAGGUUGAUUAGUGUUACCCGAAUGAAGGUAGGGGGUGGGCGGAAAAGGUGAAGUCUUACGAAAAAAAAAAAGUUCGAUCAGCCAUCACUUUCUUAUACCCAGAAGAUUUUGUUUGCUGCUUUGCUGCUGGUCCGAUAUACUCAAUCGCCAGACCAGAUUCAGCUGGGGCCACCGAUGACUGAUUGUUGAUGGUUUGAUCAGGAUCUAAGCCGGCUCACACCAUCGUUUUGUCUGGGCCCUAGAUGAAUGUCAUCACUGAAUGUAUGUGUACGACACUGCAGGGUGGGAUGAAGAGAUUUUGAAAGUGGCAACUUGGUUCAUCCCAAGUCGAUGUUGAACACAGAACAUGUGGUAAGGAAAAUUCAAGGUCCGAGGUUGGAUAUUGGAGGGUGCAUCCGAGAGGAGCUCCGCGGUAACAUUGAGAGGAAGAAGAGUCAAGUUUGGGGUCCGAGCUCACUGUUAGUCUAGUCGUGGUCGAGGCGAAUAGGCGCGAAGAUCAGUGCAUUAACACCCAGCUUAAGCUCCAUCUAACAGCUUGCAUCGUCCAUCACCCGAUCAAGCGAAGACUUCCGUCCAGCAGCAUGUACCGCCCUAUCCUCCUCAUUCAUUGGGUACGGAUUGAUGUUGCCCAUAUUUUUCCAGCAAGUCACCCUUAUUUGUCGUGUUUUGAGGAAUAAAAGCGAUUAGCGACGUACAAGGCUAAAAUGUGAGCAUCCAAAUGAUACGACUGAUUAUGCCAUCCCCUCGACCUAUCCCAGAGCCGCAAACUAUCAGUUAUCAGUUACAUACUACUCGAACUCUGAGACCGUUUAUCUCCACCAACCACAGGCGCGUGACAGUGUAUAGUUCCCGUUCCCGAUCACAACCAUCCUCGGCGCUUCCGCUGUUAAUCGGCCUCCGCCGCAUGCCAGGUUCAGGACCCGGCAAUUCAAUUCUCCAAUCUUUUUAUCCUGGCCAAUGAGUACGCGUCAUGAGGCUGAUAGCUCAUAGAUAAGGACGCCCGCGACAAGAGUAGUGCGACAAGGCCUUGGCGUGUUGGCGUAUCUUUCUUGUGCAGGUUCUUCUAAUCUCUUCAUGCUCUGCGUCUGGUGUUCAAUCGUGCAUUCGUGUUUUGCAAUUUCCCUAUUCUGUCCGUUCGCCGUUUGCAUUUUGCAGUUGACUGAAGCGAAUGCAAUACGUAAUAAUGUU